CUCCCACGAGCAGAGAACAGAAAACAAAAAAACGUGAGAGAGUGGGAAUAAACGCGAAGGCUCCGCCAUUGUGCGAAACCCAGACGAAUUACGGUGUAAUUAAUCUUCUCGAUCGUGAAAAGCUCGACGAUGGGAAGUACCUCGGGAAAUUUCUCGGAUUACGCAGGGUGCUGCACGUUCGCCGAUGUUAAUUCCUUAUCACCGCAAGAGUUUUAAUCAAAACGCCGUGAUCUCGUUCGGUGCAGAAAGUAUUUACAUCCAUUUACAUCCGUCUGUUUACGUGACCAGUGUCUAACUAGCCGACUCGGACUUGGCCUCCGCCAAGUUCUCACGGAACGUUCUCCACGGAUCGUCAGCCAGUGUUCACCGCGGAGAAUUUUCGAGGGAUGUUACAGAUUCUACGUUGAACGCCAGCGAGGGAGCACGCCGCUCGAGGAUUCUGGAUUACCAACGUGCGCCAUAUUUUCAUCGAGUUUUCACUGUUGGCCACUCGGUGUGAAAAAAAAAAGACGCGUUCGCCUGUGAACAAUCGGCCGUGAAUCGAAAGCAUGGAUUAAUUCGCGGCUGAAUGGGAUCGCCGCCGGUGCGUCCGACCUCUCUCGUCGAUCGUAGUAUCUGUUGUCCGAAUUUCACCAGUCCCUUUUUCUUCCUUUUUUGCUUUCGAUCGUCGUUUCUCCCCCCCCCCCCCCCCUCCAUUUUUCUCUAUGUCUUGCUGUUCUUUCGACGAGAAGCUCAAGUGAAAAGUGAAACAACGUUCAGCUCGUCGACGUUCGUCGGCCGUCCUCGAUCUUGGGAUAAUAGUGUUAUUAUAGGUCGCUUUGUACGCCGCGAUGAUUCGCCUGUUUCCUGCUUGAUGAAUCUCCACGAACUUCAAAGGAGGCGAACGGAAGAAAGGAACGGUCCCGAGGCCUCGUAAUAGAAUUCAGCUCGUAAGAAAGGAGGAGAAAAGAAGAAAAACGCAGCGAAAGAAAG
Molecule: long non-coding RNA, 972 nt
Organism: Frieseomelitta varia
Lineage: Eukaryota; Metazoa; Arthropoda; Insecta; Hymenoptera; Apidae
Exons: 2
Source: RefSeq, a predicted model, not a curated record